UCCUUCUCUAACCUGCCUCUUCUAUUGUAAAGAUGAGUGAGCUGAGGUCUUUUUCAUAAUUCAAAAGGAAGAAAGGAAUCCGAGGACUUUGGUUAUAUUUUAAUAUCUCCUUAGGUUAUGUAUAUGCCUGCGUAGGUGGCUCAGUGAGACUGAACCAUGCAUGAAUAUAAGAGACAAUGAAGUAGCAGAGGAAGAGCUGAGGAUACAGGUAAAGUGAAGAAAUACUGGAUGGACAGCAUCCCUGAGAAGUUGCAUUCCUCAUUAACUUGUGGUGAACUGGACACCAACUGUGAUGAAAAUUCCCACCAAACCUCUUGAUUGCUUGAGUAACUCCUGAGAAACAUCUUUCAAAAGAAAACCACAGAUUUUUUCAACUGUAGAACAAAAAUCAUAGCCUUGCUCCCAGUGCUUCAUCUGCUUGGAGAUCCUCUACCAGCACCUGGAAUGGCUCAUGUCACUUUAAGAAACAAACUAAUAAUUCACAUGUGUCCUGACUCCUUGUGAAGCUCAAGGGGGUAGUGAAGAGGAAGGAAUCCAGGAGGAAGAGAAGGGAAAGAAUAUUUUGUGAAAAAUAAAUGGUCAUCAAAAAUUGUGUUUUAGUGC
Talpa occidentalis (Iberian mole) is the source of this 603-nucleotide long non-coding RNA. RefSeq lists it as uncharacterized. The transcript has 5 exons. NCBI's taxonomy places the organism in Eukaryota, Metazoa, Chordata, Mammalia, Eulipotyphla, Talpidae. The record is from RefSeq and is a predicted model, not a curated record.